This 494-nucleotide ribosomal RNA is filed under the name uncultured Ureibacillus sp. RNAcentral's name for it is "bacterial SSU rRNA". It matches the Rfam family "Bacterial small subunit ribosomal RNA", at positions 32 to 507 of the family's 1533-position model. The record is from RNAcentral. Lineage: Bacteria; Bacillati; Bacillota; Bacilli; Caryophanales; Caryophanaceae.
GACGCUGGCGGCGUGCCUAAUACAUGCAAGUCGAGCGAACCAAUUGAAAGCCUAGCUUUCAUGAGGUUAGCGGCGGACGGGUGAGUAACACGUGGGUAAUCUGCCCUAUAGACUGGGAUAACUCGCGGAAACGCGUGCUAAUACCGGAUAACACAUCAGAGUGCAUGCUUUGGUGUUGAAAGAUGGUUCUGCUAUCACUAUAGGAUGGGCCCGCGGCGCAUUAGCUUGUUGGUGGGGUAACGGCCUACCAAGGCGACGAUGCGUAGCCGACCUGAGAGGGUGAUCGGCCACACUGGGAUUGAGACACGGCCCAGACUCCUACGGGAGGCAGCAGUAGGGAAUCUUCCACAAUGGGCGAAAGCCUGAUGGAGCAACGCCGCGUGAGCGAAGAAGGUCUUCGGAUCGUAAAGCUCUGUUGUAAGGGAAGAACAAGUGCAGUAGUAACUGGCUGCACCUUGACGGUACCUUACUAGAAAGCCACGGCUAACUACGUG